CCAUCUCAACCUUUUAUAUUUUUAUCAAAUAAAUUCUUGUUGGAUAUUGCUUAUUUAUUUUUGGCUUCUUUUUUGAUUUGAGUGGUUGAUAACAAUAAAUGUGGAGCCUUCACUAGGUAUUAGAUCACUUAUACAAGAAUAAAAGUAGUCUUUUUAGAAUUUAUUGCAUUUGUAUAUCUCCACCGCUACUUAUUGCCUAUGGAUAUCAUAAUUUAUAGUAUCAAUUGUAAAAACACAAGGUAGACCUUGAUGAGCUUGAAUCCACAACACAAGGUGGAGUCUUGCUUUCAACAAGAUUUUACCUACUAAAGCAGGCUUGAUUCUUGGCUUAAGUGGGAAAGCAAUAUGUUAACAAAAUCUAUUUUAAAACCAUUCAAUCUGUGUGACUUAUAUAUAUAAAUCUUUUAAAAAGCAUUAAAGGGCAAUGUUAGCUGCCUCAUCACGCAAUAUAAGUUUGUGUC
Molecule: long non-coding RNA, 461 nt
Filed under: Jatropha curcas
Lineage: Eukaryota; Viridiplantae; Streptophyta; Magnoliopsida; Malpighiales; Euphorbiaceae
Description: long non-coding RNA (JCUR_LNC002383)
Source: RNAcentral